Molecule: transfer RNA, 73 nt
Filed under: marine sediment metagenome
Rfam family: tRNA
About the family: Transfer RNA (tRNA) molecules are approximately 80 nucleotides in length. Their secondary structure includes four short double-helical elements and three loops (D, anti-codon, and T loops).
Source: RNAcentral
GCCCCGGUAGCUCAAUUGGCAGAGCACUUGCCUCGUAAGCAAGGGGUUGAGGGUUCAAGUCCCUCCCGGGGCU